RNAcentral lists this ribosomal RNA (251 nucleotides) under uncultured prokaryote. Its description in RNAcentral is "partial 16S ribosomal RNA". It matches the Rfam family "Bacterial small subunit ribosomal RNA", at positions 525 to 775 of the family's 1533-position model. The record is from RNAcentral.
ACGUAGGGUGCGAGCGUUAAUCGGAAUUACUGGGCGUAAAGCGUGCGCAGGCGGUUCGCUAAGACAGGUGUGAAAUCCCCGGGCUUAACCUGGGAAUGGCGCUUGUGACUGGCGGGCUGGAGUACGGCAGAGGGGGGUGGAAUUCCACGUGUAGCAGUGAAAUGCGUAGAGAUCGGGAGGAACACCAGUGGCGAAAGCGGCACCCUGGCAUUGGCCUGACGCUGAGGUGCGAAAGCGUGGGGAGCAAACGG